RNAcentral lists this transfer RNA (71 nucleotides) under Gemmatimonadota bacterium. RNAcentral describes it as "Gemmatimonadetes bacterium tRNA-Gln". It matches the Rfam family "tRNA". From Rfam's summary of the family: Transfer RNA (tRNA) molecules are approximately 80 nucleotides in length. The record is from RNAcentral. Lineage: Bacteria; Pseudomonadati; Gemmatimonadota. RNAcentral also lists the same sequence under 1 other name.
UGGGGGGUGGUCAAAUGGCAUGACGGCGGGCUUUGGCCCCGCAAGUUCAGGUUCGAUUCCUGGGCCCCCAA